This 78-nucleotide transfer RNA is filed under the name Candidatus Palibaumannia cicadellinicola. Its description in RNAcentral is "tRNA-Arg". It matches the Rfam family "tRNA". From Rfam's summary of the family: Transfer RNA (tRNA) molecules are approximately 80 nucleotides in length. RNAcentral also lists the same sequence under 1 other name. The record is from RNAcentral. Lineage: Bacteria; Pseudomonadati; Pseudomonadota; Gammaproteobacteria.
GCGCCUUUAGCUUAGUUGGAUCAGAGCAACGGCCUUCUAAGCCGUAGGUCAUAGGUUCGAAUCCUAUAAGGCGCACCA